GUCUUUUUGAGUUAUUUUGAAAGUCUGACCUGCCCACUGAAUUUUUAAAUGGCCGCAGUAUUCUAACUGUGCAAAGGUAGCAUAAUCAUUAGUCUUUUAAUUGGAGGCUGGUAUGAACGGUUGGACGAGGUAUUAACUGUUUCAUAUAUAUUUAUAUUAGAAUUUUAUUUUUUAGUUAAAAAGCUAAAAUAGUAUUAAAAGACGAGAAGACCCUAUAAAUCUUUAUAUUUUGUGUAUUUUAAAUGGUUUAGAUUUAUUUUAUUUUUAUUAUAAAAAAUAUUUUGUUGGGGUGAUGUUAAAAUUUAAUGAACUUUUAAUUAUUUAUGGUCAUUAAUUUAUGUAUUAUUGAUCCAUUAAUAGUGAUUAUAAGAUUAAGUUACUUUAGGGAUAACAGCGUAAUUUUUUUGGAGAGUUCAUAUCGAUAGAAAAGUUUGCGACCUCGAUGUUGGAUUAAGAUAUAAUUUUAGGUGUAGCCGCUUAAAUUUUAAGUCUGUUCGACUUUUAAAUUCUU
This 511-nucleotide ribosomal RNA is filed under the name Dacus siliqualactis. RNAcentral's name for it is "partial 16S ribosomal RNA". The stretch from base 387 to 511 matches the Rfam family "Bacterial large subunit ribosomal RNA", at positions 2473 to 2597 of the family's 2925-position model. The record is from RNAcentral. Lineage: Eukaryota; Metazoa; Arthropoda; Insecta; Diptera; Tephritidae.